RNAcentral lists this ribosomal RNA (275 nucleotides) under uncultured bacterium. RNAcentral's name for it is "partial 16S ribosomal RNA". It matches the Rfam family "Bacterial small subunit ribosomal RNA", at positions 338 to 611 of the family's 1533-position model. The record is from RNAcentral.
CCUACGGGGGGCAGCAGUAAGGAAUAUUGGUCAAUGGACGCAAGUCUGAACCAGCCAUGCCGCGUGAAGGAUGAAGGUCCUCUGGAUUGUAAACUUCUUUUGAAUGGGACGAAACCUCUUUUUCUUGAGAGACUGACGGUACCAUUAGAAUAAGCACCGGCUAACUCCGUGCCAGCAGCCGCGGUAAUACGGAGGGUGCAAGCGUUAUCCGGAUUCACUGGGUUUAAAGGGAGCGUAGGAGGGCAGGUAAGUCAGUGGUGAAAUCUUCGAGCUUA